Molecule: ribosomal RNA, 943 nt
Filed under: Stropharia hardii
Lineage: Eukaryota; Fungi; Basidiomycota; Agaricomycetes; Agaricales; Strophariaceae
Description: partial large subunit ribosomal RNA
Rfam family: Eukaryotic large subunit ribosomal RNA
Source: RNAcentral
GACUUGGAGGAGGACUAACAGGAUUCCCCUAGUAACUGCGAGUGAAGCGGGAAAAGCUCAAAUUUAAAAUCUGGCAGUCUUUGAUUGUCCGAGUUGUAAUCUAGAGAAGUGUUAUCCGCGCUGGACCGUGUACAAGUCUCCUGGAAUGGAGCGUCAUAGAGGGUGAGAAUCCCGUCUUUGACACGGACUACCAGUGCUUUGUGAUGCGCUCUCAAAGAGUCGAGUUGUUUGGGAAUGCAGCUCAAAAUGGGUGGUAAAUUCCAUCUAAAGCUAAAUAUUGGCGAGAGACCGAUAGCGAACAAGUACCGUGAGGGAAAGAUGAAAAGAACUUUGGAAAGAGAGUUAAACAGUACGUGAAAUUGCUGAAAGGGAAACGCUUAAAGUCAGUCGCAUUGUCUGAGAAUCAACCUUGCUUUUGCUGGGUGUACUUUUCAGAUAAUGGGUCAACAUCAAUUUUGACCGUUGGAUAAAGUCUAAGGGAAUGUGGCAUCUUCGGAUGUGUUAUAGCUUUUAGUCGCAUACAACGGUUGGGAUUGAGGAACUCAGCACGCCGCAAGGCCGGGUACUUGUACCACGUUCGUGCUUAGGAUGUUGGCAUAAUGGCUUUAAUCGACCCGUCUUGAAACACGGACCAAGGAGUCUAACAUGCCUGCGAGUAUUUGGGUGGAAAACCCGAGUGCGUAAUGAAAGUGAAAGUUGAGAUCCCUGUCAUGGGGAGCAUCGACGCCCGGACCAGACCUUUUGUGACGGAUCUGCGGUAGAGCAUGUAUGUUGGGACCCGAAAGAUGGUGAACUAUGCCUGAAUAGGGUGAAGCCAGAGGAAACUCUGGUGGAGGCUCGUAGCGAUUCUGACGUGCAAAUCGAUCGUCAAAUUUGGGUAUAGGGGCGAAAGACUAAUCGAACCAUCUAGUAGCUGGUUCCUGCCGAUUUCCCCCUCAAGAAA